This 219-nucleotide ribosomal RNA is filed under the name uncultured bacterium. RNAcentral describes it as "partial 16S ribosomal RNA". It matches the Rfam family "Bacterial small subunit ribosomal RNA", at positions 28 to 248 of the family's 1533-position model. The record is from RNAcentral.
GACGAACGCUGGCGGCGUGCUUAACACAUGCAAGUCGAGCGGUAAGGCCCUUUCGGGGGUACACGAGCGGCGAACGGGUGAGUAACACGUGGGUGACCUGCCCUCAGCUCUGGGAUAAGCCUGGGAAACUGGGUCUAAUACUGGAUAUGACUCCACGGUGCAUGUCGUGGGGUGGAAAGCCUUGUGCGGCUGAGGAUGGGCCCGCGGCCUAUCAGUCUU